Molecule: long non-coding RNA, 1621 nt
Filed under: Homo sapiens (human)
Lineage: Eukaryota; Metazoa; Chordata; Mammalia; Primates; Hominidae
Description: HSALNT0388487
Source: RNAcentral
UUUUUAUUAGUCUAAUAACCAUUAGGUAGCUCAUUGUCCUAACCAAACACACAGAAAGCUGAAAGAAAACACCACCAACUUUGGGAAACUAUUGGAAACUGUGCUCAGAGGGAGUCCCAGCCCCCUCCCAAACUGCGCCCAAGAGCAGAGCAAGAUGCAAAGCCAGGGGAAGUAAGGAGGGAAGCAGGCUGGGAGGGAGGGGCUCCAGCCCCAGGGUUGGGGUGGAGGAGACGAGGCCCCCUUUGCCCAUAAGACUCUAGGCUCCUUCCAAGGAGGGCAAGAAGCCUUUUUUUUUUUUUUUUUUUUUUUUUAAACCCAGGGCCCAGGAAAGUUAUGCAAAGCAAUUACUCAACUUAGGCAGCCCAGGGAGGGACCACCAUCUUCCAACUGCUCCACCUCCCACUACGUUUGUCUUUGCCUCCUUUCCCUUCCCAUCAGGGUUCAUGACCAAGGAGACGCAAUUCUGUGAGCCUAAGUCUCUGCUGGUCUGGUCCUCUUGGCUCUCUUGAGAGACCCAAGUACAGGUGACUUCCCUGACUCUGGCUGGGCUCCGUAAGCUGUCUUGAGGCUACGCAGCGUCUAAGGCGUUAUCCUUAACCUCCAGCUCCCUCCGGCUUUGCUUUUCUCUCUCUUCUUGACUCUUCUGAAGUUUUUCCUUGUUCCUGUCUCUCUUCCUCCUGUCUGCUGCAGCCUCACACACCAGACAGUUCUCAAGAUGUCCUUCGGGGGAGCCUCCAGGAAGACGAAGAAGAGGCACUAGGUGCAUGCCUACACAGAGGAAAGCCAUGUGAGGACACAGCGAUAAGAUUGCUGACUGCAAGCUCAGGAGAACUUAGAAGAAACCAACCCUACCAGCACCUUGAUCUUGGACUUCCAGCCUCCAGAACUGUGAGAAACAGCUAGUUCCAGAAUCCCGGUCCAACAAGGAGAUUGCCUCUGUCCAAGAAAAUAUCUUGAUAAGCUGCUCAGGGCAGAAGGUGAGAGACCCUGAAGGCAUGGGUGUCCAGUGAAAUGAAUUGUUUAUUUUUUCCUCACAAUGCAGGAAAGAGACAAAGGAGAUAGAAGAAGUGGAAUAAGGGGAAAGAUAAGAACUGGAAAGCUGAACCAUAGCCCAGACCCAAGCAGGAGAAAGAGCAAGAAAUGCCUAUGAGAAAGCCGGAAAGAAACCCCUGGAAUUUGGAAGAAAAUGUCUAAAAGGGAAUGGCAAGGAACCUGAGGAACCAGCGUGAGGAAAACCUGGAUGAUCUGACGUCUUCCUCACUUUAUCCCUACCUGUCCACGCCUCCAUCCAUCCACCCAUCCAUCACUGAUCAAGCUCUCACUAUGUCUAUAGUGUAGAAGGUGCCACCAAAUGCAAUGGAACCUCUUGUCUCAUGUGUCUACUUGCAUCUUUAAGUUGAUACACGGAAGGCACAGUCCAAGCACAGGAUACUGGAAGCUAUGGAGGUACAGUGGCCUCUGAGCAAACUGAAAACUCUCUAUCACUAAAGGGUUGGGCAUACAGGGUAUCUCCUCUGCUCUGCCACCUACCUUGAGGAUGCUUUACAUGUGGCUAAAAGUGGAGGCAGAGAUAUUUGGAUAAAUAAAUGCUAGAGAAUUGGAAAUUCCUAGGACAAGUCAA